GGGGGCCCACCAGGCUGCUUGCAGAGCUCCAGGGGUGUGGGGAGAAUGGGGGUGGAAAGGACGGGCUGAGGGCCAAGGAGAGGUGGCUGAGAAAGGGGUAACUCGCCUACUCUCCUGCUCUCCUUCUCUCUUUCCUUGCAAUGUGUGAGAGUGAAAGCAAGGGAUGUGCAGGGCAAAAACUCAGAGAGCUCUGUGCCUUUCCUACUAUUCAUUCCACAGAAGGAAUACAAUGCCAGAGAAAGGAGAGGUGCUUCCCCAACUCCCUGCACCUGGGAAGACAGGGAUGCCUUUAAAAGGCUAGGUUUGUGCUAAGGAUAAAGAGAGACCAUAGCAAUACUCUGAGUCUAGCUUUCUUGAGAAGAGGAAAAAAAUAAAUUAAGAAGGUAAAAUAUGCUCCACAACCUGCAGGAUUGAAGGAGCAAUGUUUGGAGGAAGCGAAAGAAGGGAGAGGACACAGAGCAGCCAGGCAGGGCCAGGAGCUGAGAGGGGCCCAGACCUGAGGCCUCCCAACAACUCUCUUCUUGGAAGGAUCUGGAGUGUUGCUGAAGGAAAAUAAAAGAUAUAUAAAAAGAUAACCUUUUGCUUUUCCCUCUCCAGGAAAUAGCCAAAGGUAUUUACAUAUUUUGGGGGAGAUUUAGAGUAUAAACUCUAAGAUCUUUGGUAUAUAAGUGUCAUCAUCGAUUUAUUUAUUUAUUGCUGAGCUGACUGUAACUGACUCAAUAACAAAUCUAAUCAUGUAUUGCACUGGAAAAGAAAUAUUCUCAUUAUGUAUUUUCUCCAAAUAAUGGCCUACCAUUGCAUUUGAAUACCUGCUGUAAAUAUCAAUAAUAUCGAGUAAUUACUCUGUACUCGAGUAAACUAAUUUACUAGCAUUAAUGUUUCUGUGGCUUUCCACCUCCCCCCACCACCACCUUUACAAGGAUUGCUUAUCACAAAUCAAGCUACUUGGACACAUUGGUUUAAUGAACUCUUUAUUCAAGAUUUGCUACAAGAACUUUCAUGUCCCUUGAAUCCCUGAGAACUGAAUUUGAAAUUAUUUGUGCAUCUUCAGCUUGACAUAUUUGUCCACUGUGGCUUGUCCAGAGGGCAGCAGUGCUGUGAGUGAGAAGUUCCAAUGGGAAGGAAGGUUAUUGGAGAAGAGUAGCUUCAGACCUCCUAAAGCUGGGAAGCACAUUUACAGAAUUGCCCUGCAGCGAAAAAAACUUCUAUUUCCAGCAGUGACCAACAAGGCUAAAUAUUUGUUUCUCCACAGCAUCUCUUUUUUAGAGACAGAAUAUAAAAGACAGAAGGAGAGGUUUCAAACAAAGGUAUUCCAGCUGUUCCCUGGCUUGAUUUUGGCUAUCCCAAACUCUCUCUCUGCAGCCCACCCAGUCCUCACCACCCCUACCUUCGAACAAAAGGAAUGCAUGAAGGGUUUCAGUGACUUUGCCAUAACAAAGGCGCCACCAUUGCGGGGCUCGCCCCGCCCCUGGGUGAAGGCAAACAAAUUCUUGCACUUGUAUUAGGGCUUUUAAGACCAUAAUUGAACCCGGGGGCGUCUAGGAAAACCGAAAACAGUUCUAGACAGACCUGCGGUUUUAUAGCAGUUUUGGCAGUCAACUUCAGCUUGUGCCUGAACAGACGGGGCUGUGGUGGCCCGCCAGCGGGGGAUGCCAGGCCACCUCCCCCAGCGGCACACAGCCCCUCUCUUAAUUAGAUCGGUUUUCCCCUGGUGUCAGGGAGAGCGGUCCCGGCAGAAAGGUCGGUAUUGGGGUGUGCGCUGUUCCGCAUAACCAUUGCCUCCCAUGUCCUCCUGGAGAGCCAGACCGAGAGGGUGCUGGCAGGGCUGGAUCCCAUAGGUGUCCGCAGGAGACAAAGGCGAAUUCCGGAUAAAAGGCUGGGGGUGAAAAAGGCGCUCCGGGAGCGGCUGGCAGGGCAUUUCGGCAGGCUGCACCGAAGCCGGGUGCCCGGAGGGACUUGCAGCCUGGAAGUGGGUGUGUGGGGGCGCUGCCGUGAAGAUGGAUGAGGGAAAAGGCUUUUGAUAUCAGCAGAAGGGAAAAAGCCUGAAGUGACCGAACGCUUUUAGUUGCCCAGCAGGAAUAGGAGAAGGGUACUCAGGUCCCCAAGACUGCGCAAUGUCCCAGUUUUGCCCGCUCCUGCCCUCGUGUGCGGAAUACGCUGGCGGUGUGAAUGUGAAGGUUUCUCCAGGCAGGCGGCUGGGGUGAGGGGUGGGCGCAGCUCUGAGGAUCAGACCAAAUUCAGGGGAAGAAGGGAAGGCAGACCUUCAGGUCCUUGGUUUUGACUUUGCUCUGAUCCUAUGAUUGACUCUUCCGCUUUGCAGGAGGUCCAACAGCCGAGCGUAACCCACUGGGCUCUGGGAAAGACCCGACUGAGGCUAAAGCCGCCCCGGAAGGCCAAGUCCGAGUUCCAUUUCUUGAAGAGGCCGGCGCGGAGCCCCACCGCGGCUAAUGCAAGAGGCCAAAAAAUGUUUGGAGGAAGAAAAACAAAGGCAGGAAGUGGCGGCGGCCUGACGGUGCGUGUGUGUCUGCAGAGAAGGGAGGGAGCCCGGUUCAGUCUCUUCUUGUUUUUCCAAAUUUCAAGGUCCAGGCAGCCCUCUGCAAGGCUGGGCCCCAUCGCUCCCCGCACGGCAUUUGGAGGUGGCCACCCGGAGAGGAGAAGGCCGACGCCCGCGCCAGGCUUGUCAGGCGGAAACAGCUAACAAGGAGAUUUGGUCAGCAAAACAGACCGAGCCUUUCCGAGGCUUCGUCUGAUUUGGCCCGAAAGGUUGGGGAGGGGGGGCUUGCGCAGCGCCUCCGGGACCCUCCUCUCUGGGGACGACCAUCCCUGAGCCUUACGCUUCGUUCCACCGCCUUUGCAAGCGGAAUAUCGGAAUAAAGUGGGUCCAGGCGCC
This is a non-coding RNA of Macaca mulatta (Rhesus monkey), 2890 nucleotides long. NCBI's taxonomy places the organism in Eukaryota, Metazoa, Chordata, Mammalia, Primates, Cercopithecidae. The record is from RefSeq and is a predicted model, not a curated record.